RNAcentral lists this ribosomal RNA (560 nucleotides) under Roseibium sp. NH89-61. Its description in RNAcentral is "bacterial SSU rRNA". It matches the Rfam family "Bacterial small subunit ribosomal RNA", at positions 131 to 725 of the family's 1533-position model. Lineage: Bacteria; Pseudomonadati; Pseudomonadota; Alphaproteobacteria; Hyphomicrobiales; Stappiaceae. The record is from RNAcentral.
CUUUGGUACGGAAUAGCUCCGGGAAACUGGAAUUAAUACCGUAUGAGCCCUACGGGGGAAAGAUUUAUCGCCAAAGGAUGGGCCCGCGUUGGAUUAGCUAGUUGGUGGGGUAAUGGCCUACCAAGGCGACGAUCCAUAGCUGGUCUGAGAGGAUGAUCAGCCACACUGGGACUGAGACACGGCCCAGACUCCUACGGGAGGCAGCAGUGGGGAAUAUUGGACAAUGGGGGCAACCCUGAUCCAGCCAUGCCGCGUGAGUGAUGAAGGCCCUAGGGUUGUAAAGCUCUUUCAGCGAGGAGGAUAAUGACGUUACUCGCAGAAGAAGCCCCGGCUAACUUCGUGCCAGCAGCCGCGGUAAUACGAAGGGGGCUAGCGUUGUUCGGAAUCACUGGGCGUAAAGCGCACGUAGGCGGAUUGAUAAGUUAGGGGUGAAAUCCCGGGGCUCAACCUCGGAACUGCCUUUGAUACUGUCAGUCUUGAGUCCGAGAGAGGUGAGUGGAACUCCGAGUGUAGAGGUGAAAUUCGUAGAUAUUCGGAAGAACACCAGUGGCGAAGGCGGC